Long non-coding RNA from Drosophila kikkawai, 1028 nucleotides. RefSeq lists it as uncharacterized. The record is from RefSeq and is a predicted model, not a curated record. NCBI's taxonomy places the organism in Eukaryota, Metazoa, Arthropoda, Insecta, Diptera, Drosophilidae.
GAAACUUACACAAGGUGCUAUGAAAAAUGCUUCAGUUGUUCAAUAUACUUUUAUAAGCACACACCUCCAGCUUAGUACAAACAUUUUUUCUAAAAAAAAAAAAAAAAGGCUACAAAAUGUAUUUUUGUGUUUCACAAACUCUAAUAUUACACUUUAACACUUAUUCUUGAAUUCAACUACUAUCUACUGAUUACUCGUAUAAAAGUAAAUUCUGAGGCCUUUCCUUCAAAGGCGACAGCUUCAACACUACAUCUUGAAUAGCGCGGCAAAGUACCUCCAGAGUGGAGGCAUCCAUCUCUCUGGCCAGGACGAAGGCUCCCAUCAAGAGACGUUAGAGUCCCUACAUUGCAGCUGUAAAGGGAUAUAUCAUCCUUGAGCUCUAGCUCCCGGCGCAAGGUGAUGGCAUCAACGCACGCUAAUGCCGAGGCAAUGGCCUUGUCUCUGGGGAUGUGGCUUCUGUUAUUUCCUGGCUUUUGUUCCAGAGGAGCCAAGCACUCCCGACUAUGCUGGACACGUACUCUGAGCGCCACUGCGACUUUGGAACCCAUAAACCAUGGCAUGGAAUCCCUGCCAAAAUUUUGCCGACCUCCUCCAAAAGUGCCCCUGGAAGUAAGAGCCUGGGCUUUGGCACAAGUUCGAAGAGUUGGUGGGAAGAGGCUGGGGAACAGUUGCCUGAUCCACACUGUUCUGAUCGGGAAGGAUAACUCUUGGCUCUGAAGAGAGUACCCGCCGCUCCUUGUUGGUGACGACGCGAUCUAUGUCCAGCGUCUUGAGCUGCGGCAGAAUGAGCAGUACGCUGGAUCUAUAGCUAUCGCCGGCUGCUACCGAACACGGAUUUUCUGCGAGGAUAAGAGAGGUCAGGGAUCUGGCAUCCUUUCUGAUACUGAAGUUCUUGGAGGUCUGCUAUCUGGUUCUUUCUUAAAGAAAGAUGAUUGAGAUGAACGCAAUUCUUGAGAGAUUUUAGCAUAACUCCUGAUGUGAAAUAUUUUAUUACCAGGACAAAAUUAUAUGUUGAAGGCAAAACCCAA